This 692-nucleotide ribosomal RNA is filed under the name Pseudoalteromonas sp. TB43. Its description in RNAcentral is "bacterial SSU rRNA". It matches the Rfam family "Bacterial small subunit ribosomal RNA", at positions 36 to 723 of the family's 1533-position model. Lineage: Bacteria; Pseudomonadati; Pseudomonadota; Gammaproteobacteria; Alteromonadales; Pseudoalteromonadaceae. The record is from RNAcentral.
CUGGCGGCAGGCCUAACACAUGCAAGUCGAGCGGUAACAGAAAGUAGCUUGCUACUUUGCUGACGAGCGGCGGACGGGUGAGUAAUGCUUGGGAACAUGCCUUGAGGUGGGGGACAACAGUUGGAAACGACUGCUAAUACCGCAUAAUGUCUACGGACCAAAGGGGGCUUCGGCUCUCGCCUUUAGAUUGGCCCAAGUGGGAUUAGCUAGUUGGUGAGGUAAUGGCUCACCAAGGCGACGAUCCCUAGCUGGUUUGAGAGGAUGAUCAGCCACACUGGGACUGAGACACGGCCCAGACUCCUACGGGAGGCAGCAGUGGGGAAUAUUGCACAAUGGGCGCAAGCCUGAUGCAGCCAUGCCGCGUGUGUGAAGAAGGCCUUCGGGUUGUAAAGCACUUUCAGUCAGGAGGAAAGGUUAGUAGUUAAUACCUGCUAGCUGUGACGUUACUGACAGAAGAAGCACCGGCUAACUCCGUGCCAGCAGCCGCGGUAAUACGGAGGGUGCGAGCGUUAAUCGGAAUUACUGGGCGUAAAGCGUACGCAGGCGGUUUGUUAAGCGAGAUGUGAAAGCCCCGGGCUCAACCUGGGAACUGCAUUUCGAACUGGCAAACUAGAGUGUGAUAGAGGGUGGUAGAAUUUCAGGUGUAGCGGUGAAAUGCGUAGAGAUCUGAAGGAAUACCGAUGGCGAAGGCA